Molecule: long non-coding RNA, 856 nt
Filed under: Phoenix dactylifera (date palm)
Lineage: Eukaryota; Viridiplantae; Streptophyta; Magnoliopsida; Arecales; Arecaceae
Description: long non-coding RNA (PDAC_LNC017556)
Source: RNAcentral
AAUUUAGGAUGCAGCACACUUCAUCUUCCUAGGCAUGAAUCAUCUUAGACUACUUUAGCAAACAUGAUUAGUAACUAGCAUGCUCAAAGUUUAAAUAUCAUAAAGGAAUAUUUCAUUGAAAAUAAGAAUUUAAACAAGCUCCAAAAUAAUAAAAAAAAUAAGAACUACAAUGCCCUGAUACAUUGCUAAGGCUUCAUCCAGCCCUAGACUAGACGUUUAGCCGCGCAUGGCUUCCGGACGACCUUCCAUCUUCAAAUAAAAUUGAUCACCUCCCAUUAUUCCCAAAGUAUCCAAAACUAUUCUCUUUCCCCCUCCUUUCUCUCUUUUUUUAUUUCUUUUUCUCCUCUUCCCUCUCGGUUUUCUUCUUCUUUUCACCGAAACAGGGGGUCUCCCCUAUUUUCUCAACCGAGCUCUCCCCCUCUGAUGGCCACCCUCCUCCUUUUAUAGAGGAUGAAGGGCGUCAAUCCGUGGAAAUGGUUGGAUCUUGGGAGGAAUACGUGGCCCGUGGAGCGUCGGAUUGACUGUAGAUGGCCGAAAAUGGAGCUAGCCGCUGGAUCGACGGGUGGUGGAUGGAAGAAGACGAGAUGGCCGCGGGAUCGAUGGGAGGCUGAUGCGGAAUGUCUGGAUCUCGGAGAAGACGGGGACAGAGCUGGAGAUGGAUGCCGAGCUGGGUUAUCGGCUGUUGGGAGCUGAUCACGGCUUGGUGCUAGGGAUCAAUCCGGAAGGGGAGACGACACAGAUGCUUGGAUGCUGGGUGAUUGCUGGGUCGGAGGCGUCAUGGGCGGAAGAAUAAGGUGGCCGGAUCCAUGGCGUGAUACACUGGGAGGAUGCGGAGCUUGUCUCGGACGCUCGGAAC